UUAUUUUUUCCAACUUUUUUUCCGUAUCUUCAUAAAUGUUUCACUCUUCUUUUGUUAGUAUUUCUUAGUCUCUUGAGUCAAGAAAUAUUUACUGAGUAUGAUUGCAUGCAUAAGUAGUGUGCGUUAGAGAUACGAUACCUGUAAGACACCACAGUGCUGGGUAGAUCCGGGUGCCAUUGUCUGUUGCCAGGGCCGAAGUUGGCAUUUUGUAAGUGUUCGAAUAAGCACCAUGCCGUGGGAUAAGAAAUAAAAGUGUGUGCC
This 261-nucleotide long non-coding RNA is filed under the name Homo sapiens (human). RNAcentral describes it as "non-protein coding lnc-ARID1B-5:1". The record is from RNAcentral. Lineage: Eukaryota; Metazoa; Chordata; Mammalia; Primates; Hominidae.